GAUGAACGCUGGCGGCGUGCCUAAUACAUGCAAGUCGAGCGAACAGACGAGGAGCUUGCUCCUCUGACGUUAGCGGCGGACGGGUGAGUAACACGUGGAUAACCUACCUAUAAGACUGGGAUAACUUCGGGAAACCGGAGCUAAUACCGGAUAAUAUAUUGAACCGCAUGGUUCAAUAGUGAAAGACGGUUUUGCUGUCACUUAUAGAUGGAUCCGCGCCGCAUUAGCUAGUUGGUAAGGUAACGGCUUACCAAGGCGACGAUGCGUAGCCGACCUGAGAGGGUGAUCGGCCACACUGAAACUGAGACACGGUCCAGACUCCUACGGGAGGCAGCAGUAGGGAAUCUUCCGCAAAGGGCGAAAGCCUGACGGAGCAACGCCGCGUGAGUGAUGAAGGUCUUCGGAUCGUAAAACUCUGUUAUUAGGGAAGAACAAAUGUGUAAGUAACUAUGCACGUCUUGACGGUACCUAAUCAGAAAGCCACGGCUAACUACGUG
This 497-nucleotide ribosomal RNA is filed under the name uncultured bacterium. RNAcentral's name for it is "partial 16S ribosomal RNA". It matches the Rfam family "Bacterial small subunit ribosomal RNA", at positions 28 to 507 of the family's 1533-position model. The record is from RNAcentral.